GUCUAUGGCCACACUACCCUGAUGUGCCUGAUCUUGUCUGAUCUUGGAAGCUAAGCAGGGUCCAGUCUGGUUAGUACUUGAAUGGGAGAAGCUGUAAAGG
RNAcentral lists this ribosomal RNA (100 nucleotides) under Castor canadensis (American beaver). The record is from RNAcentral. Lineage: Eukaryota; Metazoa; Chordata; Mammalia; Rodentia; Castoridae.